AUGAUGUUAGCUCAGUAAGGUAGAGCACAUGAUUGAUAGUCAUGCUGUCGCCGGUUCGACUCCGGCACAUC
Molecule: transfer RNA, 71 nt
Filed under: Pelagicoccus sp. SDUM812005
Lineage: Bacteria; Pseudomonadati; Verrucomicrobiota; Opitutia; Puniceicoccales; Pelagicoccaceae
Description: tRNA-Ile
Rfam family: tRNA
About the family: Transfer RNA (tRNA) molecules are approximately 80 nucleotides in length.
Source: RNAcentral